GUUCCAGCCGCCGCGGUAAUACCGGCAGCUCGAGUGAUGACCACUCUUAUUGGGCCUAAAGCGUCCGUAGCUGGCCGCGCAAGUCCGUCGGGAAAUCCACCUGCCCAACAGGUGGGCGUCCGGCGGAAACUGUGUGGCUUGGAACCGGAAGGCUCAGAGGGUACGUCCGGGGUAGGAGUGAAAUCCCGUAAUCCCGGACGGACCACCGAUGGCGAAAGCACUCUGAGAAGACGGAUCCGACAGUGAGGGACGAAAGCCAGGGUCUCCAACCGGAUUAGAAACCCCAGUAGUCC
This 293-nucleotide ribosomal RNA is filed under the name uncultured bacterium. Its description in RNAcentral is "partial 16S ribosomal RNA". It matches the Rfam family "Archaeal small subunit ribosomal RNA", at positions 455 to 747 of the family's 1478-position model. The record is from RNAcentral.